CUCAAAGUCUAUGAGAUCCAUCCCUGUCCCUGCUCUCCAGGAGAACAACAGACAGACAGACAAAAGGGGAGUCUUGUUUCAAUUUUAAAAAGUUCUAGCCUUCCCACUGG
This is a non-coding RNA of Chelonoidis abingdonii (Abingdon island giant tortoise), 110 nucleotides long. The record is from RefSeq and is a predicted model, not a curated record. NCBI's taxonomy places the organism in Eukaryota, Metazoa, Chordata, Testudines, Testudinidae.